ACCGCGGAGGAUCAUUACCUAGAGUUGUAGGCUUUGCCUGCUAUCUCUUACCCAUGUCUUUUAAGUACCUUACGUUUCCUCGGCGGGUCCGCCCGCCGAUUGGACAAUUUAAACCAUUUGCAGUUGCAAUCAGCGUCUGAAAAAACUUAAUAGUUACAACUUUCAACAACGGAUCUCUUGGUUCUGGCAUCGAUGAAGAACGCAGCGAAAUGCGAUAAGUAGUGUGAAUUGCAGAAUUCAGUGAAUCAUCGAAUCUUUGAACGCACAUUGCGCCCCUUGGUAUUCCAUGGGGCAUGCCUGUUCGAGCGUCAUUUGUACCUUCAAGCUCUGCUUGGUGUUGGGUGUUUGUCUCGCCUCUGCGUGUAGACUCGCCUCAAAACAAUUGGCAGCCGGCGUAUUGAUUUCGGAGCGCAGUACAUCUCGCGCUUUGCACUCAUAACGACGACGUCCAAAAGUACAUUUUUACACUCUUGACCUCGGAUCAGGUAGGGAUACCCGCUGAACUUAAGCAUAUCAAUAA
This 520-nucleotide ribosomal RNA is filed under the name fungal endophyte sp. D8-1B1-3-1. RNAcentral's name for it is "eukaryotic LSU rRNA". The stretch from base 158 to 311 matches the Rfam family "5.8S ribosomal RNA". The record is from RNAcentral. Lineage: Eukaryota; Fungi.